AAGUUUGUGCAAUAACAAUUCUGCAGGCCAUAAUGUCUUAUACUAACACAGGUUAUACAUUUCAUUUCCCACACUGGUUAUGAACAUAAUAAUAAUAAUGAUGCACACACAUAAUAUAUCUCCAGACUUGCUAGGAGGUGUGAGGACUCUCAGAAAAUCUUUUUCAGGAGGUCUACCAUGAAGAGGCUUGCCAGGAGUCAUGGGGGACCCUUGGAGAACCCUUUCAGGAGGUCGACUGUGGACAGUCUUGCAAGGAAGCAUGUAGGAUGCUUGGAGAACCUAUUCAGGUGGUGGACUGAGAGGUUGGACAGGAGACUCAAAUCUACGGAGGAGCUCUGGAGACUUGAACCCACGGCGGAGCCUUGGAGAACGGCCGUGGAACCCAUGUUGGAGGCCUGAAGAUUUAUCAAAUUGAGUAAUUACUUUUUCACAAAGGGCCAGGUUGAUUUGGAUAGCUUUUUUUUCCAUAAUGAACCAAAUUGCAGCACCGUUUCUGGUUGUUGUAUUUACUCUGGUUAUGUGUAUUUAGUAUAAAAAAUAAUUUGAUAAUCUGAAAUUUUUAAGUGAUGAAAAAGCAAAAACAGACAAAUUCUUAAAAUUCUUAAAAUUUUCAAAGCACUGUAAAUACGAUGAAAGGUGCAGUAAUAAACGGUUUAUUUGCAUUUUUUAAAGUUUGUAUCUUAUAAAUAGAAGAAAAUGUAAACAUCAAAAAGCUAAGAAAUAUAUCCUUAUAUGUUGCUAAUAGUUUGCCUGGCCACUGAGCAAAGCAAUUAGAAAAUCUUACCCGACUUUCCAACUUGCAAAUGGUUGGGUGUGCCAUCAUUGCAAGAUUGGCAAAUAGAAUGGGUGAUUACGGAAAGACCAAAUUUGUAACCUACCAGAGCAAUACAUUAGGAACGAAGAAGAGUGAGAAGAGUGAGAGUCGGAAUGUAGACAGAAAGAACAGUAAACCAAGAGCUUUGCAUUUUGAUUUCUCUUUCCACAUUUUGUAAGUGCCUUGAGAUGAAAUUUGUGAAUUGAUGCUACAUAAAUAAUCAAAAUUUCUUAUCCAUAAGAGAAUGGAGCAAUGGCAAAGAUUCUGUGGUGGAGGCCCCAAUCAGUGUAUCCAUCCCCCAUUCCAAGAUACACAAAGAUGCUUCAUGUCCUCUGGCUGAGGCAAAGAAUGACCCCAUACCCUGAAGGAGAAAUCCAGCUUUUCCACUUGAGAAUCACAGCAUUAGACCUAGAGGAGCAGACUCUCGUCAUGCAUAUGAUGUGGUUCUGUUGGCAUCAAAAGACAAUGUUAAGCCUGCUCUAGAGUCAUUUGCAGCUCCUGAGGCCAAUGAGCAAGAUCUCAGAAAAGGAGGUUUGACGAUUACCCUGACAUUGGCUGCUAUCUUAAUUUUUUGCUUAUUUGCUUGAUGUCCGAGGAGAGGCUCAAAGAUUGUUGUACCAAGAAGGCAAGGUUAUUUUCAACAUCCAUCUUUUAUUCUGGGGCCUCAUAUCUCGGGGGUGUGGAAACAUGACUGACAGCUCAACACAGCGGCUGAACAACAUAUUCCCUGCUGCUGCAUUCAGGGACCGUGGGACCUGGAAUUAUCAUAUAAUGACAAUAAAGAAUCCUGAAUAUUGUGGUGAAUAAAUCUAUAUUUUUUGGAUGAAUAUCUUCUCUGGUCUCAGAUGCUGUGCAGCUGGAUGGAUUUUUGCUCAUUCUAUUUUACUUUUGGACAUUUGUUAUGAUGCAUCACCAUAGCAAUGGGUUUGUUUAUUUACUAGGACCAGCUGAUUAAUAUCUUAAAAGCUUAAAUAAUACUUCAACUGCAACCCCAAAUCCCUGAUGAGUUGAAAAGGAGACACCGUGGAUGCAGAGCAGUAGAAAAGAGAAGAGAGAGAAGGAGGAAGUUCAAACCAUCUCUUCCACAGAUUCGGAUGGGCAAUGUGAGAUCAUUGGGAAACAAGCUGGAUGAACUCCAAGCCCUACAAAGGACACAGCCAGAGUAUUGGUAAUGCAGUAUUGC
This is a long non-coding RNA of Girardinichthys multiradiatus, 1997 nucleotides long. RefSeq lists it as uncharacterized. Lineage: Eukaryota; Metazoa; Chordata; Actinopteri; Cyprinodontiformes; Goodeidae. The transcript has 3 exons. The record is from RefSeq and is a predicted model, not a curated record.